This 460-nucleotide ribosomal RNA is filed under the name uncultured bacterium. Its description in RNAcentral is "partial 16S ribosomal RNA". It matches the Rfam family "Bacterial small subunit ribosomal RNA", at positions 338 to 795 of the family's 1533-position model. The record is from RNAcentral.
CCUACGUGUGGCAGCAGUGAGGAAUAUUGGUCAAUGGCCGGAAGACUGAACCAGCCAUGCAGCGUGAAGGUCAGUGCCCUAUGGGCGUUAAACUUCUUUUGUGCGGGAGCAAUAAUGGUCACGUGUGGCCAGACGAGAGUACCGUACGAAUAAGCAUCGGCUAACUCCGGGCCAGCAGCCGGGGUAAUACGGGGAAGGCACGCGUUAUCCGGAUUUAUUGGGGUUAAAGGGUGCGUAGGGUGUGAGGUAAGUCAGCGGUGAAAAGCCCCCGGUCAACGGGGUGAAGUGCAAUUGAUACUGGCGUGCUGGAAUGCGGAUGACGUGGGAGGAAGGUGUGGUGUAGCGGUGAAAUGCAUAGAUAUCACACAGAACACCGAUUGCGAAGGCAUCUCACGAAUCCGCGAUUGACGCUGAUGCACGAAAGCGUGGGUAUCAAACAGGAUUAGAUACCCUUGUAGUC